GAUGAACGCUGGCGGCGUGCCUAAUACAUGCAAGUCGAGCGAACAGACGAGGAGCUUGCUCCUCUGACGUUAGCGGCGGACGGGUGAGUAACACGUGGAUAACCUACCUAUAAGACUGGGAUAACUUCGGGAAACCGGAGCUAAUACCGGAUAAUAUAUUGAACCGCAUGGUUCAAUAGUGAAAGACGGUUUUGCUGUCACUUAUAGAUGGAUCCGCGCCGCAUUAGCUAGUUGGUAAGGUAACGGCUUACCAAGGCAACGAUGCGUAGCCGACCUGAGAGGGUGAUCGGCCACACUGGAGCUGAGACACGGUCCAGGCUCCUACGGGAGGCAGCAGUAGGGAAUCUUCCGCAAUGGGCGAAAGCCUGACGGAGCAACGCCGCGUGAGUGAUGAAGGUCUUCGGAUCGUAAAACUCUGUUAUUAGGGAAGAACAAAUGUGUAAGUAACUAUGCACGUCUUGACGGUACCUAAUCAGAAAGCCACGGCUAACUACGUG
This 497-nucleotide ribosomal RNA is filed under the name uncultured bacterium. Its description in RNAcentral is "partial 16S ribosomal RNA". It matches the Rfam family "Bacterial small subunit ribosomal RNA", at positions 28 to 507 of the family's 1533-position model. The record is from RNAcentral.